CGAGUAAGUCAGAUAGUCGCGGAUCGUGAUUACACGAACGAGGAAAGUCCGAGCUCCAUAGGGCAAGGGUGCUGGGUAAUACCCAGUGGAGGCGACUCUAAGGAAAGUGCAACAGAAAUAAACCGCCAAUUUAUUUGGUAAGGAUGGAAAGGUGAGGUAAGAGCUCACCAGCAACUAGGCGACUAGUUGGCUAUGUAAACCCCACCCGGAGCAAGACCAAGUAGGGACUAUAUAGCGGCGGCCCGUCGUGUCCCGUGGUAGGUCGCUUGAGUUUACUGGCAACAGUAGACCUAGAUAGAUGGCUAUCAAAUACAGAACUCGGCUUAUAGACUUGCUCGUAUA
This 342-nucleotide RNase P RNA is filed under the name Crassaminicella thermophila. RNAcentral's name for it is "Bacterial RNase P class A". It matches the Rfam family "Bacterial RNase P class A". From Rfam's summary of the family: Ribonuclease P (RNase P) is a ubiquitous endoribonuclease, found in archaea, bacteria and eukarya as well as chloroplasts and mitochondria. Its best characterised activity is the generation of mature 5'-ends of tRNAs by cleaving the 5'-leader elements of precursor-tRNAs. Cellular RNase Ps are ribonucleoproteins. The record is from Rfam by way of RNAcentral. Lineage: Bacteria; Bacillati; Bacillota; Clostridia; Eubacteriales; Clostridiaceae.